RNAcentral lists this ribosomal RNA (639 nucleotides) under uncultured bacterium. RNAcentral describes it as "bacterial SSU rRNA". It matches the Rfam family "Bacterial small subunit ribosomal RNA", at positions 44 to 715 of the family's 1533-position model. The record is from RNAcentral.
AUGCUUAACACAUGCAAGUCGAACGAGAAAGUGGAGCAAUCCAUGAGUAAAGUGGCGACCGGGUGAGUAACACGUGACUAACCUACCUUCUAGUGGGGGAUAACCCCGGGAAACCGGGGCUAAUACCGCAUAACAUCGCAAGAUCAAAGCAGCAAUGCGCUGGAAGAGGGGGUCGCGGCUGAUUAGCUAGUUGGCGGGGUAACGGCCCACCAAGGCGAAGAUCGGUAGCCGGCCUGAGAGGGCGCACGGCCACACUGGAACUGAAACACGGUCCAGACUCCUACGGGAGGCAGCAGUGGGGAAUUUUGCGCAAUGGGGGAAACCCUGACGCAGCAACGCCGCGUGGAGGAUGAAGCCCUUUGGGGCGUAAACUCCUUUCGACCAAGACGAUAAUGACGGUACUGGUGGAAGAAGCACCGGCUAACUCUGUGCCAGCAGCCGCGGUAAUACAGAGGGUGCGAGCGUUGUUCGGAAUUAUUGGGCGUAAAGGGCGCGUAGGCGGCGCGGUAAGUCACCUGUGAAAUCUCCCGGCUUAACUGGGAGCCUGCAGGCGAAACUACCGUGCUGGAGUAUGGGAGAGGUGCGUGGAAUUCCCGGUGUAGCGGUGAAAUGCGUAGAUAUCGGAAGGAACACCAGUGG